GGGCAUGUGGCUCAGGGGUUGAGUGCUUGCCUAGCAUGCAUGAGGCCCUGGGUUCCAACUCUAGCACCACCA
This 72-nucleotide transfer RNA is filed under the name Urocitellus parryii (Arctic ground squirrel). RNAcentral's name for it is "Spermophilus parryii (Arctic ground squirrel) tRNA". It matches the Rfam family "tRNA". From Rfam's summary of the family: Transfer RNA (tRNA) molecules are approximately 80 nucleotides in length. Their secondary structure includes four short double-helical elements and three loops (D, anti-codon, and T loops). The record is from Rfam by way of RNAcentral. Lineage: Eukaryota; Metazoa; Chordata; Mammalia; Rodentia; Sciuridae. RNAcentral also lists the same sequence under 1 other name.